This 253-nucleotide ribosomal RNA is filed under the name uncultured bacterium. Its description in RNAcentral is "partial 16S ribosomal RNA". It matches the Rfam family "Bacterial small subunit ribosomal RNA", at positions 524 to 776 of the family's 1533-position model. The record is from RNAcentral.
UACGGAGGGUGCGAACGUUGUUCGGAAUUACUGGGCGUAAAGCGCGUGUAGGCGGUACGUUAAGUCAGAUGUGAAAGCCCUCGGCUCAACCGAGGAAGUGCAUUUGAAACUGGCGAACUAGAGUACGGGAGAGGGUUGUAGAAUUCCAGGUGUAGAGGUGAAAUUCGUAGAUAUCUGGAGGAAUACCGGUGGCGAAGGCGGCUCACUGGCUCGAUACUGACGCUGAGGUGCGAAAGCGUGGGGAGCAAACAGG